CGCGCGCGCGCGCGCGGACUACGAGCGCGGGAAGCUCGCGGGCGCGCGGCCGGGGUGAGGGGAAGCCGCGUCCGCGCCGCGCGAGCGCGCACGGCGGGAGGGGUUGAGUGGGGGUGAACACGCACGCACACGCACACACCCCCCCCCCCCGGUGCGGGAGGGCUGGCAGAGCGGGUGCGGUUUGACAUUGCCGCCCUCCCGCGCGGGAGGAGCCACGGGGGGAGGGGCUCCGGCGGGGAGGGACCGGCCCUCGCGGUAACCCGCCGAGCAGGAAACUCCGUGACGGCCUGUCACAGAGCGACAGUCCUUGCACCAGUGAACAGCUGUGACUUGGUCAGUGGGUUUGAAAGCAGUUACUGCAUUGUAAAGUGUGUGUAUGUUUUAAGAUGAGCACUUUGAUAUACCGUUUCUCCUAAAGGACUCCAUUUCACCGGAUAAUGCCAAGUGAAAAUUCAUGUUAUGGUUGUACAAACAAGAGCAUCUUGAAAAUUGUGGAGCUGCAUACAAGCAAAUGUCAGAUGACAGCUUCUCAUUCCUCAACACAGCUACCACGUGUCAUUGAUGUUGUCUGCUAUUGAAAGAAUGCAAACAAAAUGUGUGCAGAAAAAAAACUGCACAUGGACACAUCCAGGCCUGCCAGGAAUCGCAAUGCUUUUUGCUCCCCCUGUUCAACCUCGGCAUCUUCUUCUGCCACCGGCACCUUUUGUAUCAACCUCGUCUUCGCUUCUUGUGAAGAAAUGGGGCUUUCCCUGCUGGUGGGUGGGCACCAGCUCUGCAAAGUCCCUGUCCCUUGUUAGAAAAACUGAGGAAGACAUGCACUGGGCCUUUCUUUAAAUAAUAACUAAAAAAAAUCAUACUCAACUUUAGGCACAUGUAUAUUCUAACCCAAGUGCUGUGCAACAUUUAAAACCUGUGGACCUCUGAAAUACCUUUCUUGAAGUGUGUUGUUUUGUCAUGUCUAGUGUUUGCAGGCACCUUAACCAGAAUUUAGUUGCUCUGGGAAAAUGCUGCAAUCAAGUAUUUUUGCAAAACUUUAAUUGUAUUCCUUCUGGUAAGAAAGAAUGUGUUGCCUUGGGGAUGAUCAGCAAAAAAUAAAUGAAAGGUAGAAAAAGGCCAUUUUCUUCAGGGACAUCACUAAAUGGCCCAUCAAAUAGCUGAGAAGUGAUGUUGAGCAUGUAAAUGCUGAGUCCCCAGAAGCUGUAGAUCCUGGGUCUUAUUAAAAUGUUAUGUUGGGACAGUAAAACUGCUAAGGGGACCAGCUGGAGGGUUAGCUAACCUCUGGGGAGGAGAGCAAGGGAGAACAAUUUUAAAUAUGUGAGAUCUGUUACUGCUUAGUUGCAGCUAAGGUGAAUUUUGUCACUAGAUUGAAGUGAGGGGAGAGCAGAAUACAGGAAAGAGGCAUUUUGCUGCUGGCUGUAACACCAGCUGUGUGUUGCAGCAUCAGAGUAAGAUAUGUGGAAAGAGAAAAACAGAGGAACAGAGACGAAAGAAAAUGAUUUUUAUGUUGUUGUAUAAAGCCUGUUGA
Molecule: long non-coding RNA, 1525 nt
Filed under: Strigops habroptila (Kakapo)
Lineage: Eukaryota; Metazoa; Chordata; Aves; Psittaciformes; Psittacidae
Description: lncRNA (ENSSHBG00005003205.1)
Source: RNAcentral